CGGAUCGCAGGCUGCAACCCGCCUGCGUGAAGUCGGAAUCGCUAGUAAUCGCGGAUCAGCAUGCCGCGGUGAAUACGUUCCCGGGCCUUGUACACACCGCCCGUCACACCAUGAGAGUCGGGAACACCCGAAGCCCGUAGCCUAACAGCAAUGAGGGCGCGGUCGAAGGUGGGUUCGAUAAUUGGGGUGAAGUCGUAACAAGGUACC
Molecule: ribosomal RNA, 207 nt
Filed under: uncultured bacterium
Lineage: Bacteria
Description: partial 16S ribosomal RNA
Rfam family: Bacterial small subunit ribosomal RNA
Source: RNAcentral